AACGAACGCUGGCGGCAGGCUUAACACAUGCAAGUCGAACGCCCCGCAAGGGGAGUGGCAGACGGGUGAGUAACGCGUGGGAAUCUACCUAGUUCAACGGAACAACACAGGGAAACUUGUGCUAAUACCGUAUACGCCCUACGGGGGAAAGAUUUAUCGGAAUUAGAUGAGCCCGCGUAAGAUUAGCUAGUUGGUGGGGU
Molecule: ribosomal RNA, 200 nt
Filed under: uncultured bacterium
Lineage: Bacteria
Description: partial 16S ribosomal RNA
Rfam family: Bacterial small subunit ribosomal RNA
Source: RNAcentral